RNAcentral lists this long non-coding RNA (635 nucleotides) under Pan troglodytes (chimpanzee). RNAcentral's name for it is "lincRNA". Lineage: Eukaryota; Metazoa; Chordata; Mammalia; Primates; Hominidae. The record is from RNAcentral.
GUUGUCUGUUUGAGUAAUGAGUGUAGAAACCUACAAUGGAGGCGUGAUGGCUGAUGCAAUCAUUUUCCACUGAUGAAGGUUUUGAUGGCUACCUGUAAUGAACAGCCCCAUCUGAUUUAAUCACUGCAAUGACCGUGAACUGUACGGUUACCUCCGUGUGUCACAGGAAGACUCUUUUGACUUAAGCACCCUUCCAUGGUCAUGAGGUUUCUGGUUGCCUCUGUGUUAGAAGCUUGGAGACCAAUGCCUUCUGCUGUGAUCGCGUUCUCCACAGUUGCCUCUGGGUAGGAGCCUGGACACUAAUAGAAAAUGGAUGCACUGGAGCUGAUUUAAACAUUCUUUGGUGGUCACAAGAUGUAUAGCUGCCUCUGUAUGUUUGGUGCAUGGAAAAAAAUAUGAGUUUUUGUGGACAUACACUCUUUAUUUGAAAAGUAUGAAAUAUAAUCCAAGAAAGCCAGCCAUGGCUCAGUGAUAAAUAUGGAAUUGAUAUGAAACAUUAUAUUGAUUAAUCACCUUUGAGGAUGAUUAAUAAAAGAGAGAAAGUGAUUCUAUAUAGAGAUGCAGGACUAUUUCAGGCUCGUUCAUGAUCUAGGUUUUUGUGCUUCAUGGUUAUUAUUAUCAAUAAAAAGAAAAAA